Molecule: transfer RNA, 84 nt
Filed under: Minisyncoccota bacterium
Lineage: Bacteria; Bacillati; Minisyncoccota
Description: tRNA-Leu
Rfam family: tRNA
About the family: Transfer RNA (tRNA) molecules are approximately 80 nucleotides in length. Their secondary structure includes four short double-helical elements and three loops (D, anti-codon, and T loops).
Source: RNAcentral
GCCGUGGUGGCGGAACUGGCAGACGCGCGAGACUUAAAAUCUCGUGGUGGCAACACCGUGUGGGUUCGAUUCCCACCCGCGGCA